AGGUGCUUCUGGGAUUUACAGUUGCAACCAGCACAAAAAAUUAUGUCAUCUCUGCAUUGAACUAAAAGCACUGGCUUGUGAGGAGGGGGAGAAGUAGGGUCCUGUCCAGUUCCUGUGGGAGAAGAGGCAAUAAGGAAGAAAGAAAAGACAAGACAGAAAAAAGGGAAGGGAGCAGAAAAUGGAAUAUUUUUCAUGUAGUUUUGUUCAAUUGAAA
Molecule: long non-coding RNA, 214 nt
Organism: Alligator sinensis (Chinese alligator)
Lineage: Eukaryota; Metazoa; Chordata; Crocodylia; Alligatoridae
Exons: 3
Source: RefSeq, a predicted model, not a curated record